UACGAAGGGUGCAAGCGUUACUCGGAAUUACUGGGCGUAAAGCGUGCGUAGGUGGUUUGUUAAGUCUGAUGUGAAAGCCCUGGGCUCAACCUGGGAAUUGCACUGGAUACUGGCAGGCUAGAGUGCGGUAGAGGAUGGCGGAAUUCCCGGUGUAGCAGUGAAAUGCGUAGAGAUCGGGAGGAACAUCCGUGGCGAAGGCGGCCAUCUGGACCAGCACUGACGCUGAGGAGCGAAAGCAUGGGUAGCGAACAGGG
RNAcentral lists this ribosomal RNA (254 nucleotides) under uncultured bacterium. RNAcentral's name for it is "partial 16S ribosomal RNA". It matches the Rfam family "Bacterial small subunit ribosomal RNA", at positions 524 to 777 of the family's 1533-position model. The record is from RNAcentral.